CCUACGGGUGGCAGCAGUGAGGAAUAUUGGUCAAUGGACGAGAGUCUGAACCAGCCAAGUAGCGUGAAGGAUGACUGCCCUAUGGGUUGUAAACUUCUUUUAUAAAGGAAUAAAACGAGGCACGUGUGCCUUUUUGCAUGUACUUUAUGAAUAAGGAUCGGCUAACUCCGUGCCAGCAGCCGCGGUACUACGGAGGAUCCGAGCGUUAUCCGGAUUUAUUGGGUUUAAAGGGAGCGUAGAUGGGUUGUUAAGUCAGUUGUGAAAGUUUGCGGCUCAACCGUAAAAUUGCAAUUGAUACUGGCAGUCGUGAGUACAGUUGAGGUAGGCGGAAUUCGUGGUGUAGCGGUGAAAUGCUUAGAUAUCACGAAGAACCCCGAUUGCGAAGGCAGCUUACUAAACUGUGACUGACAUUGAUGCUCGAAAGUGUGGGUAUCAAACAGGAUUAGAUACCCAGUAGUC
RNAcentral lists this ribosomal RNA (459 nucleotides) under uncultured bacterium. RNAcentral describes it as "partial 16S ribosomal RNA". It matches the Rfam family "Bacterial small subunit ribosomal RNA", at positions 338 to 795 of the family's 1533-position model. The record is from RNAcentral.